UACGAAGGGGGCUAGCGUUGCUCGGAAUCACUGGGCGUAAAGGGUGCGUAGGCGGGUCUUUAAGUCAGGGGUGAAAUCCCAGAGCUCAACUCUGGAACUGCCUUUGAUACUGGGUAUCUCGAGUAUGGAAGAGGUGAGUGGAAUUCCGAGUGUAGAGGUGAAAUUCGUAGAUAUUAGGAAGAACACCAGUGGCGAAGGCGGCUCACUGGUCCGGUACUGACGCUGAGGCGCGAAAGCGUGGGGAGCGAACAGG
This 253-nucleotide ribosomal RNA is filed under the name uncultured bacterium. Its description in RNAcentral is "partial 16S ribosomal RNA". It matches the Rfam family "Bacterial small subunit ribosomal RNA", at positions 524 to 776 of the family's 1533-position model. The record is from RNAcentral.